GUAAUCGGUUUUUCAACCUAGCUCAGGAACUGUUUAUAUUUAUUCGCAUUGACCUGUUGGAUCGAUCUUGUCAAAACACAGACUCGAAGCGACUCCGGCAUGAGUCAACUUUUUUUUCACCCCGCCGUGGCGAUCCUGUGCGAUUUGAGCUGACAACCGAAGAGCAGUUGAUACUAGACCAUUUCAGAGGACAUUGAAGAGUUGACCACAGUGGUAUGGAUAUGCAAUUAUGUGUAGCCAGAUUAGUUCCUCAGGAUCACAGAUGGCUUUCUUCCAGUCUGGAUUUGUGGGUCCUGAGAUGACUAAAUAAUCCAAUACUAUUUCCGCAAGCCCCUUCACAGGAGGUCAAUAUAAAUGAUGGACAUGUAUGCAGACAAGACAGUUAAUUGGCCUUUGUCAGAUCAUUAAAUUUCCAAUUGCUUCUACAAGAUGAACGAACCCAUAACCAGAAGGAAAUGAUAAGGACAGGAAGAUGGGUGCCUGACCAAGGUUCUCACCACUGUUGAAGAAUGAAUCAUCCAAAUUGUAGUCAACAGUGGGUCUCAGCAACAGUUGACAGCAAGUCUAGAGUGUGGCCAUAGUCUAAAUGCCAGGCCUCAGUCACUCCUGGAGAAUGAGAAAGAUGACAUCAGUGAUCCCAAGGAUGCACCAGCACCUGCCCCUCCCACAUCAUCCGCGAGGAUGUACCCAGGAUUGAUGUUUGUGCUGAGACCCUGCUGAAGAAUGUGGAAGCAAGGUGUAUAUAGUGCUAUCAUUUUUGCUGGCACCAAUAUCCCCUCUCAGCUGUUUGGAGGUUCCUUGCAAGCUGAUCAAUGUGCUGACACAUUGACUCCUGAUUCCAGAAGCCGCUGCUGCACAUGCACCUCAGAGAUCCCUUUAGCAGGAAAAGCAAUUACAGGGAGCAUAGGCUGAUAUCAGUGGCCAUUGUACUGAAACAUCCCCAUAUUUUGCCAGGCUCUGUGUCCAAAGGUGUUGCUGUGAAUGAGUUGUUCAACAAUGCAGGGAGGUGCACAGUUUACGGACAGCUAAUACAUUUAGUUCACCAGUGAUGAGGGACCUCAUGGAUCUGUAUUCUCUACAGUGCAUGGUCUGUCUAUAAUGCUCUUUCUCUUUAAAGGGCCUCACUUCACAGGAUCCUAAAACUCUCUCCUUGACAGAUCAAAGAUACUGACCCUUGGUGUUCAGGUGUAUCUGCAGCCAUUUUCCUUCUCUUUAUGUAUUUUGGAUUUCUAGAACGAUGGAAAGUUCGGAAAGCACGCUGCAGCCAGUGCUUUCCAAACUUCAUCUCGAUAUGUCAGUGAGACCUGAAUAGCCAGAUCCGUCUCCUGAUAGCCCUCCCUAUGUAACCACCUCUGGUCCCCAUACAGGUGCCUGUACCUACCCACCUUCCUGACCCAGCCUCUCGUGUGUGAGAUGAGCAUACCAGCUAUGGUUAUAUACAGCCCUUUUCCCCCCAGACCAUGGAUAAACACUUCUUCUUGCAUUAUCCUCUUCCUAUCCAUACUGUAAUGUAACACCCUUUACAAAUAUAGUUGCUCACUUCAUAAUUGUCAACCCCCUUCCUGCCAAUCUGCAGAUCCCAAAUAGGUGCCCAAGUCUCAUUCUGGUAGCCGGGGCCCCUUUUGUAUCCCAACCCCACCUCUUUGGACGGACUGAGGACUGUUCAUGGCACAUCCCCUUGUGAGACCUAACCAAGCUGGUAUGAGAUGCUGCCUUUGACCCACUAUGUCAGAACCCCCUGACUGACCAGUGCCUCCAUGCACUUUGAUGACAUGGGAUGCUCGCUUGCUGCACAUGCAGAGUGUUUCUCAUGUAAGCUGUUGACAUAUGGUGUAGGUGUGAGAUUGUUCUAGUUCACUGCGAUACAGCAAAGAUAUAAACCCCCUUGAUGGAGAGCUGCUGAUUAGCAACACAAACAUUGGUUAACUAUAUUAGGUUAGAUUCCCAACAGUGUGGAAACAGGCCCUUCGGCCCAACCAGUCCACACUGACCCUCCAAAGAGUAACCCACCCAGACCCAUUUCCCUCUGACUAUUGCACCUAACACUAUGGGCAAUUUAGCAUUGUCAAUUCACCUGGCCUGCACGUCUUUGGACUGUGGGAGGAAGCUGGAGGACCCAAAGGAAACCCACGUAGACACGGGGAGAAUGUGCAAACUCCACACAGACAGUCGCCCGAGGUUGGAAUCGAACUUGGGACCCUAGUGCUGUGAGGCAGUAGUGCUAACUACUGACCCACCGUGCCAUAUGGAAAGGCAUGGAUGCUGCAAGCAAAAGGCAGGUGCCAAAUGAAAAAGUGAGAGCUGGUAAGCAAGAAGGCAGUCCUUAAUGCAUCCUGGCCAAAUCUGUGGGUUAGGUGCUUCUCCCGGUAUACAGAAACCUUUCAUUGCUAGUUGCCGGUGUGACCUGUAAUGGAAGUCUGUUGCUUUCAGAGCAGUCUGCCAGUGUAUCAAAGAGGUGCCAUGAUGGUCGUGCAAGGUUGGCAAAUGUCUGAUGCCAGUGUUCAUUGACAGGGAUGGGUGUGGAUUAUGCCUAUGGAUCAUGCCCCAAGAUGCUAUUUAAUGCUGAGCAUCAUUCAAGCUCCCCUCAGAUGGUGGCAAACUGAAGUCACUAGGUAUCCGUUUUGAUUUCCAUGUUGGGAAUUCUCAAUGUCUAGCUUGUUUGCGGCAUUUAGGAUGACCGGAAGCUGCAUAUUAAUGAGACAAGUUCUGACAUUGACAAAGAGGUUUUCAAACGAUGCCCCCCCUCCCGCCUAAUUGAAACUUGUUACUACCUUGUAUGAAAAAUGCAGCAAGUUGCUCCUGACAUCAUGAUGGACACUGCUGGACUUUUUGACUGAUCCUGCCACAGAUCUCCCUAUAGCUCAUAUCACUCACGUUUCUAUCAGAUUGCACCCACAACAUUUUAAAUCAGUCAACAUUCAUAGAAUGCAAAUAUAUUCCAAGUAAAUGUGAAGCCCAAACUAACACUCUACUGACUUAAUUUUGCAGUCUGAACCUAUUGCAAUAAUUUUGAAACUUCAAAUCCUGCAAUGUUAAUUCACCUGUUUGUAAUAUUUCGUACACCCAGAGUCAACAUAA
Long non-coding RNA from Hemiscyllium ocellatum (epaulette shark), 3078 nucleotides. RefSeq lists it as uncharacterized. The record is from RefSeq and is a predicted model, not a curated record. NCBI's taxonomy places the organism in Eukaryota, Metazoa, Chordata, Chondrichthyes, Orectolobiformes, Hemiscylliidae. The transcript is spliced from 6 exons.